AAACGUAUAGGUUUGGUCCCAGCCUUUUUAUUAAUUGCUGCUAAAAUUACACAUGCAAGUAUCCACUUCCCAGUGAGAGUGCCCUCCAAGUCACACCCAACGAUUGAAAGGAGCAGGUAUCAAGCACACUAAAACAGUAGCUCACAACACCUUGCUUAACCACACCCCCAGGGAAACAGCAGUGACAAAAAUUAAGCCAUGAACGAAAGUUUGACUAAGUUAUAUUAAAUGCGGUUGGUAAAUUUCGUGCCAGCCACCGUGGUCAUAUGAUUAACCCAAAUUAAUACAACCCCAGCGUAAAGUGUGUCAAAAGAUAUCAUCACAAAUAAAGUUAAAAGCCAGUUAAGCUGUAAAAAGCUACAACCAAAGUAAAAUAAACUACGAAAGUGACUUUAGUAUCUCUGACUACACGAUAGCUAAGGCCCAAACUGGGGUUAGAUGCCCCACUAUGCUUAGCCCUAAACCCAGAUAAUUUACCACAACCAAGUUAUUCGCCAGAGUACUACUAGCAAUAGCCUAAAACUCAAAGGGCUUGGCGGUGCUCUAUAUCCUUCUAGAGGAGCCUGUUCUAUAAUCGAUAAACCCUGAUAACCUCACCAACCCUUGCUAAUGCAGCCUAUAUACUGCCAUCUUCAGCAAACCCUAAAAAGGUACUAAAGUAAGCACAAGUAUCCAACACAAAAACGUUAGGUCAGGGUGUAGCUUAUAGGAUGGAGGGAAAUGGGCUACGUUUUCUCCUCUUAAGAAUAUAAACGUGCACGAAAGUUUCUAUGAAACUAGAAACCAAAGGAGGAUUUAGCAGUAAAUUAAGAAUAGAGAGCUAAAUUGAAUCAGGCCAUCAAGUGCACACACACUGCCUGUCAUCCUCCAUAAAUAUUACAAAUCAUAAUUUAACGUAAUAUCAUGAUCCAAACAUUUAAAAGGAGACAGAUCCUACCUAGGUAAGUGUACCGGAAGGUGUGUUUGGGUAAUCAAAGUG
Molecule: non-coding RNA, 979 nt
Filed under: Equus caballus (horse)
Lineage: Eukaryota; Metazoa; Chordata; Mammalia; Perissodactyla; Equidae
Source: Rfam by way of RNAcentral